Molecule: ribosomal RNA, 2923 nt
Filed under: Acinetobacter baumannii
Lineage: Bacteria; Pseudomonadati; Pseudomonadota; Gammaproteobacteria; Moraxellales; Moraxellaceae
Description: 23S ribosomal RNA
Rfam family: Bacterial large subunit ribosomal RNA
Source: RNAcentral
GUUGUAUAGUCAAGUAAUUAAGUGCAUGUGGUGGAUGCCUUGGCAGUCAGAGGCGAUGAAAGACGUGAUAGCCUGCGAAAAGCUCCGGGGAGGCGGCAAAUAUCCUUUGAUCCGGAGAUGUCUGAAUGGGGGGAACCCACCUACUUUAAGGUAGGUAUUGCAACAUGAAUACAUAGUGUUGCAAGGCGAACGAGGGGAAGUGAAACAUCUCAGUACCCUUAGGAAAAGAAAUCAAUUGAGAUUCCCUCAGUAGCGGCGAGCGAACGGGGAUCAGCCCAUUAAGUUAUGUGUGUUUUAGUGGAACGCUCUGGGAAGUGCGAACGUAGAGGGUGAUAUUCCCGUACACGAAAGGGCACACAUAAUGAUGACGAGUAGGGCGAGGCACGUGAAACCUUGUCUGAAUAUGGGGGGGACCAUCCUCCAAGGCUAAAUACUCCUGACUGACCGAUAGUGAACCAGUACCGUGAGGGAAAGGCGAAAAAGAACCCCUGUGAGGGGAGUGAAAUAGAUCCUGAAACCGCAUGCAUACAAGCAGUGGGAGCACCUUCGUGGUGUGACUGCGUACCUUUGUAUAAUGGGUCAGCGACUUAUAUUCAGUAGCGAGGUUAACCGUAUAGGGGGAGCCGUAGAGAAAUCGAGUCUUAAUAGGGCGUUUAGUUGCUGGGUAUAGACCCGAAACCAGGCGAUCUAUCCAUGAGCAGGUUGAAGGUUGGGUAACACUAACUGGAGGACCGAACCCACUGUCGUUGAAAAGCCAGGGGAUGACUUGUGGAUAGGGGGUGAAAGGCUAAUCAAGCCUGGUGAUAGCUGGUUCUCCCCGAAAGCUAUUUAGGUAGCGCCUCGGACGAAUACCAUAGGGGGUAGAGCACUGUUUCGGCUAGGGGGUCAUCCCGACUUACCAAACCGAUGCAAACUCCGAAUACCUAUGAGUACUAUCCGGGAGACAGACUGCGGGUGCUAACGUCCGUAGUCAAGAGGAAAACAAUCCAGACCGCCAGCUAAGGCCCCAAAAUCAUAGUUAAGUGGGAAACGAUGUGGGAAGGCAUAGACAGCUAGGAGGUUGGCUUAGAAGCAGCCACCCUUUAAAGAAAGCGUAAUAGCUCACUAGUCGAGUCGGCCUGCGCGGAAGAUGUAACGGGGCUAAAACUAUGUGCCGAAGCUGCGGAUGUAUACUUUGUAUACGUGGUAGGGGAGCGUUCUGUAAGCCGAUGAAGGUGUGUUGAGAAGCAUGCUGGAGGUAUCAGAAGUGCGAAUGCUGACGUGAGUAACGACAAAACGGGUGAAAAACCCGUUCGCCGAAAGACCAAGGGUUCCAGUCCAACGUUAAUCGGGGCUGGGUGAGUCGACCCCUAAGGCGAGGCCGAAAGGCGUAGUCGAUGGGAAAAUGGUUAAUAUUCCAUUACUUCUGUGUAAUGCGAUGAGAGGACGGAGAAGGCUAAAUCAGCCUGGCGUUGGUUGUCCAGGUGAAAGGAUGUAGGCAUGUAUCUUAGGCAAAUCCGGGGUACUCUAUGCUGAGAUCUGAUAGCAAGCUGUACUUGUACAGCGAAGUGGUUGAUGCCAUGCUUCCAGGAAAAGUCUCUAAGCUUCAGUUACACAGGAAUCGUACCCGAAACCGACACAGGUGGUCAGGUCGAGUAGACCAAGGCGCUUGAGAGAACUCUGCUGAAGGAACUAGGCAAAAAUGGUACCGUAACUUCGGGAGAAGGUACGCUGUUGUUGGUGAUGGAACUCGCUUCCUGAGCUGACGACAGCCGCAGAAACCAGGCCGCUGCAACUGUUUAUUAAAAACAUAGCACUCUGCAAACACGAAAGUGGACGUAUAGGGUGUGAUGCCUGCCCGGUGCUGGAAGGUUAAUUGAUGGGGUUAGCGUAAGCGAAGCUCUUGAUCGAAGCCCCAGUAAACGGCGGCCGUAACUAUAACGGUCCUAAGGUAGCGAAAUUCCUUGUCGGGUAAGUUCCGACCUGCACGAAUGGCAUAAUGAUGGCGGCGCUGUCUCCAGCAGAGGCUCAGUGAAAUCGAAAUCGCUGUGAAGAUGCAGUGUACCCGCGGCUAGACGGAAAGACCCCGUGAACCUUUACUGCAGCUUGACACUGAACUUUGACCUUACUUGUGUAGGAUAGGUGGGAGGCUUUGAAGCUGGAACGCUAGUUCCAGUGGAGCCGUCCUUGAAAUACCACCCUGGUAAUGUUGAGGUUCUAACUCUGUCCCGUGAUCCGGGACGAGGACCGUGUCUGGUGGGUAGUUUGACUGGGGCGGUCUCCUCCUAAAGAGUAACGGAGGAGUACGAAGGUGCGCUCAGCGUGGUCGGAAAUCACGCGUAGAGUAUAAAGGCAAAAGCGCGCUUAACUGCGAGACCCACAAGUCGAGCAGGUACGAAAGUAGGUCUUAGUGAUCCGGUGGUUCUGUAUGGAAGGGCCAUCGCUCAACGGAUAAAAGGUACUCUGGGGAUAACAGGCUGAUACCGCCCAAGAGUUCAUAUCGACGGCGGUGUUUGGCACCUCGAUGUCGGCUCAUCUCAUCCUGGGGCUGAAGCAGGUCCCAAGGGUAUGGCUGUUCGCCAUUUAAAGAGGUACGCGAGCUGGGUUUAGAACGUCGUGAGACAGUUCGGUCCCUAUCUACCGUGGGCGCUGGAAAUUUGAGAGGAUCUGCUCCUAGUACGAGAGGACCAGAGUGGACGAACCUCUGGUGUACCGGUUGUGACGCCAGUCGCAUCGCCGGGUAGCUAUGUUCGGAAGGGAUAACCGCUGAAAGCAUCUAAGCGGGAAGCCUACCUCAAGAUAAGAUUUCCCUAGGACUUUAUGUCCUCUAAAGAGCCGUUCGAGACUAGGACGUUGAUAGGUUGGAUGUGGAAGCAUAGUGAUAUGUGAAGCUGACCAAUACUAAUUGCUCGUGAGGCUUGACUAUACAACACCCAAGCAGUUG